This 379-nucleotide ribosomal RNA is filed under the name uncultured bacterium. RNAcentral's name for it is "bacterial SSU rRNA". It matches the Rfam family "Bacterial small subunit ribosomal RNA", at positions 28 to 408 of the family's 1533-position model. The record is from RNAcentral.
GACGAACGCUGGCGGCGUGCUUAACACAUGCAAGUCGAGCGGUAAGGCCCUUUCGGGGGUACGACGAGCGGCGAACGGGUGAGUAACACGUGGGUGACCUGCCCUUAGCUCUGGGAUAAGCCUGGGAAACUGGGUCUAAUACCGGAUAUGACUCCAUAACGCAUGUUGUGGGGUGGAAAGCCUUGUGCGGCUAGGGAUGGGCCCGCGGCCUAUCAGCUUGUUGGUGGGGUGAUGGCCACCAAGGCGACGACGGGUAGCCGGCCUGAGAGGGCGACCGGCCACACUGGGACUGAGACACGGCCCAGACUCCUACGGGAGGCAGCAGUGGGGAAUCUUGCGCAAUGGGCGAAAGCCUGACGCAGCGACGCCGCGUGGGGGA